Molecule: unclassified non-coding RNA, 808 nt
Filed under: uncultured Bordetella sp.
Lineage: Bacteria; Pseudomonadati; Pseudomonadota; Betaproteobacteria; Burkholderiales; Alcaligenaceae
Description: partial 16S-23S ribosomal RNA intergenic spacer
Rfam family: Bacterial small subunit ribosomal RNA (bases 1-684)
Source: RNAcentral
AGUUCGAUCAUGGCUCAGAUUGAACGCUGGCGGGAUGCUUUACAUGCAAGUCGAACGGCAGCACGGACUUCGGUCUGGUGGCGAGUGGCGAACGGGUGGUAUGUAUCGGAACGUGCCUAGUAGCGGGGGAUAACUACGCGAAAGCGUAGCUAAUACCACAUACGCCCUUCAGGGGAAAGCGGGGGACCGCUUCGGGCCUCGCACUAUUAAAACGGCCGAUAUCGGAUUAGCUAGUUGGUGGGGUAACGGCUCGCAAGGCGACGAUCCGUAGCUGGUUUUGAAGGAGACGACCAGCCACGCUGGGACUGAGACACAGCCCAGACUCCUACGGGAGGCAGCAGUGGGGAAUUUUGGACAAUGGAAACCUGAUCCAGCCAUCCCGCGUGUGCGAUGAAGGCCUUCGGGUUGUAAAGCACUUUUUGGCAGGAAAGAAACGGCACGGGAUAAUACCCCGUGCAGCGACUGAUACCUGCCAAAAAGUGCUGGCAGGCACUCUCUGAAAUAUUUUUGGAUCAGGUCUCCCCAUUAAAAUUCCCGCAGCACUUCCCGUAGGAGUCUGGGCCAUCUCAGUCUGAUAGACCGGCUUACGGAUUUUGUGAGCUUUAUAACAACUAAUCCGAUAUCGGCCACAUCUAUGUGCCCCAGGCCAGAAGGUGUAAUGCGGUAUUAGCGCUCGCGUCGAUUAUCCCGCUACUAAGAACCGGCCAUUACUCGCCCGUUCGCCAUGCGCCAUAGUUCCGAGUCCGUAUAGCUGCCGUUCGACCUUUGCGUGUGUAAGCAUCCGCUCAGCGUGCAUGAUCAACUAUUU